ACAUUACACUUGAUAAAAGUGAAGUGAUUUAACUAUUAUAUUGUUGCAAUGUCAUAAUGAUUCAAGGUUUUUUUUACAACUAUGAGCAUGAGAACGUAUACCUACUAUGUGCUCUGAUCAAGUGCAGCCGUUGGAGCACUACUAGUCCUUAUGGAGCUUGGUGGAAUGCUGAAUUCGAUCUACACAGGAUUGCACAACAUGUCCUACCUAUAUUUCGAGAUCAGUUGAUAGGCUUGCGUCCUGAAGAGAUGACACCGUAGAGUCCGAUCACCAGGACCCACCAGCCAAACUGGAUUCGAUGAGGGUCAUAGGCUACUGAGCACCAUGUUGGCGCAUCUACUCUAAUCAUACUUCAGACUCAAUUCAUGCAAGAGCACACUACAUCCAUUGGGCAAUCUAGGUCCCCAGUUAUUUUUUCGGAGUUUACAUCUGGUGGGGACUUACAUCAUGAUAGUUCUGAACAACAUGCAGAAUGUACAAAUGAAGAUUAGAGCAUCAAAAAUCGUGAUGCUACACUAGAGUCAUAGAUUACUCAAGUCAGUACAGUAAUGCUAGACCUGCCAUGUCAAACACAAAGAAUACGUAAACGUAGUGGAUGUGGUACUCUU
Molecule: non-coding RNA, 608 nt
Organism: Coffea arabica (coffee)
Lineage: Eukaryota; Viridiplantae; Streptophyta; Magnoliopsida; Gentianales; Rubiaceae
Source: RefSeq, a predicted model, not a curated record